This 534-nucleotide long non-coding RNA is filed under the name Sinocyclocheilus grahami. RNAcentral describes it as "lncRNA (ENSSGRG00000026203.1)". Lineage: Eukaryota; Metazoa; Chordata; Actinopteri; Cypriniformes; Cyprinidae. The record is from RNAcentral.
AACAACUUCUCCGAUUACACAGUCUCCAGAGGAGAUUACACUGAUGGUUCACACAACUACAGCGAGUCCCCUGCUGUCAUCAAAAGUCACAGAGCAGAAGCCGCGUGAAACCACAUUAAUAUCAGUGCUAAAUACAACACAAACUGGAGAGGAGGAGCUCCCCUAAACUCUGUAAGAGAGACAUUCAAGUGUGUAGAAACUGUGAAGGGUAAAAGAGGGGGAGGAUCUGACUGGCCGGCAUUACUUUGGGAAUGAUGUCUUUCGUCCAUGCUGCCUCCACCACGACUAGCGUUCAGUAUGCUGCAGUGCCUUUGAUAGAUUGAGAAGAACCUCCAGCACUCUUUGAGGAGAGAUCAGCCCAGUAUAAACAUAAAGAACAGAUCUUGUAAUGUGCUGUUUUUACACUUACUGAACAAAUACAAGCUAAAUCAUCAAUAAUCCAUAUAAAAGUGACAACACAAAACACUCAUGAAUGGUUCGUGACAUUAUUCUAAGUUGUUUUUUUAUAGAGAAUCAAAUCAUUUGCCCUGACAG